AAUCAAAUCAAAUUAUAUCAUAUAAUCAAUUUAUUAAAUAUGCUUUGAACACCAGUUUGAAAAUAGACAUUUUCUUAAUUUUUACACAAAUAUCUAACAGAAAAUUAGAUUUUCUGUGAGCCAUGUUAUAUGGGCAAUAACAUAAAUCCGUGAUCUGGAUAUGCUUCUUCAAACCAUCUCCCAGGAACGGACGUUUCGUAAUCUUCCACAAUAAGAAACAAACUAAAUACUACACAAUUAAGCUUUCCCUUAAUUAAAACUAUGUAAAUAAAUAAAAAUAAGAAAUAAAACUAAACUAUUAUAUAAUAAGUUUUUGCAGCACAGGUACUAGCAGAGUCGUUACUGGUCUUUAGAAUUCCAGUCAUGGAGGUUUUCAACAAAUCCAAGGCCGUGAAGCUCCGAAGCCACCUAGACAAGUACUUGUGCGCCGACGAUGACCAAAAGACGGUACGCCAGAGGCGCAACGGCUCGUCGCGCAGAGCCGCAUGGUUCGUCGAGUUCGUUGAAGGGAAAAGCCACGCGAUACGCUUGAGGAGCUGCCACGGAAAGUACCUCACCGCCGCGGACGGGGGAUUUCUUCUGGGCAUGACCGGGCAGAGGGUGAUUCAGACCGUGCCGGCAAAAGGCCACUACUGGAAGUGCGAGUGGGUGCCGAUAAGGGACGGGUUCCAGGUGAAGCUGAGGAGCUGGUCCGGCAAAUACCUUCGCGCCAACGGAGGGACUCCGCCGUGGAGGAACUCAGUCACGCACGACGACCCGCACACCACGUCCACGCAGAACUGGACCCUCUGGGAUGUGCAGGCGGUGGAGGUAGACUCGAUUAUGGAGUUCAUGUCGUAUCUGUCGAGCUCAUCUUCUCUGACUGAUGAAGUUUUGGAGUCGAAAUCGGAGUCCCCCAUGUCGGUUAUCUCCACUACCUCAGUUUUGGGCUCGGAACCGGAGUCCCCCAUGUCUACCUCCCCAUUAACGCCGUUUUAUUCAAAACAGAGUGAGUAUUCCAACAUAUUCCGGUCUGGAAUGGAGCUCUUCCACAACGCCCAGGCGGUGCGCCUUCGUAGCCACCACGACAAGUACCUCCUGGCCGAGGAGGACGAGGACUCCGUGAUCCAAGAUCGAUAUGGAGCGUCCAAGGCCGCCCGCUGGACUGUCGAGUUCGUGCCGGAUUCACAGCACAUCAUCCGCCUUAAGAGCUGCUACAACAGGUACCUCACCGCCUCCAACCAGCCCUUCUUGCUUGGAAUGACUGGUCGCAAGGUGGUCCAGUCUCUGCCCCGGAGGCCCGACUCCUCCGUCGAGUGGGAGCCCAUCAGAGAAGGGAACCAGGUCAGGCUCAAGACCCGGUACGGAAACUUCUUGAGGGCCAAUGGGGGCGUGCCACCUUGGCGGAACUCCGUGACCCAUGAUAUUCCUCACAGGACGUCCACCCAAGAUUGGAUACUUUGGGAUGUUGAUAUCGUCGAGAUUCAGGUUCAGUCUCCGUCUUUUAAAUCUCAGCCUCCGCUGCCACUUCCACAUUCCGACUCUCUGUAUUUCGAUCCGAGCUCACCGUCUUCGGGUUCCAUCAAAUCCGGGAAAUUUUCGAGACAAGAGUCUACAGAUUCUAAUGUGAGUUCGCCACCCAAGUCGGAAGGGAGGACUAUAUAUUACCAAGUGGCUGAUGAGAAUGGUGAUGUGGACGACGAAACAGUGGAAGGAUAUUCUUUUACUUUUAAGGGGAAUGGCGUUGAUGAAUUGACUCAUAAAUUCGAGGAAGAGACGGGAUUAGAGGGUAUCAUCCUGUGUCAUCGCAAUCCCUUGAAUGGAAAACUUUAUCCUCUUCGCUUGCAGCUUCCUCCAAACAACACGACUAUGAAUGUCAUAGUCGUUCUGUCUUCAUCAAAAGGAACGGUGCUUUGGGAAGCUAAUUUUAGGGUGGUCAGAAUCCUAAUUGUAGAAUAAACCUUAGUAAAAACAAACAUUCGUUUUGAGGGAACAUUGGUUAGCCCUUUUUGAGCCGUCCAUUUCAGUAGUUGAAACAGUUGGAUGCCAUAAUUAAAGACAUGUUUGGGCAACAUUGUUUUAGUGCGUGUUGAAUACUCUUGAAGGAUGCUGGGAAACUAGGGAUGCUGGUUGCACAAGAAACAUGUGAAGAUGUUGUAACCAGGUGUUAGUUACUUAGCUCGAGUAUUUUUUUCACUGUGCAUGGGAUGGCUUUCAUGUGGAACCUGUCGUCGCCCAUGUGAUGAAUUGACAUACCUUGAUCCCGUGAUAGCGGCAGAGGACUUUGCAAAACAAGGUAUAUAAUAAGGAGGAUCAUGUGGAACAUCACAAUUUUGCUAAAAAUAUCAACAAACAACUGUUGUGUACUUUGUAAGGGAGGCAUAUAUGUUCGUGUUCGAAUGCCCACCUCGAAAAGAAUCCUAUCAGGUAGCCUAUCUUACCUGUUGUGUUUAUACAGAAUCUACUAUGCAAACGAAUGGAGAGAACUAAAAGCAAAUGUUGAUAUCUUCUCCAUCAAAUUUGGUUAUUCUUGGAAGCAAUGCUGAUGAUACUUGUCUUAUAUGUAGAACUUCUGCACACUUUCUGCGUUUUGUAUUCUGUUUCCAUUUUGUUUUCAAUUAUGUCGUCGUGAUAGAAGUUCUAAAUAGAAGAUAUAUGAGUUGGAGAAUUUUUAUUUCCAA
Juglans regia (Persian walnut) is the source of this 2660-nucleotide RNA transcript. RefSeq lists it as uncharacterized. The transcript has 5 exons. NCBI's taxonomy places the organism in Eukaryota, Viridiplantae, Streptophyta, Magnoliopsida, Fagales, Juglandaceae. The record is from RefSeq and is a predicted model, not a curated record.